This 915-nucleotide ribosomal RNA is filed under the name uncultured Thermoplasmatales archaeon. Its description in RNAcentral is "bacterial SSU rRNA". It matches the Rfam family "Archaeal small subunit ribosomal RNA", at positions 1 to 922 of the family's 1478-position model. The record is from RNAcentral. Lineage: Archaea; Methanobacteriati; Thermoplasmatota; Thermoplasmata; Thermoplasmatales.
UUCCGGUUGAUCUUGCCGGAGGUCACUGCUAUUGGGAUUCGACUAAGCCAUGCGAGUCGAGAGCGUUCGGCCCUCGGCUGACGGCUCAGUAACACGUGGAUAAUCUGCCCUUAGGUGGAGGAUAAUCUCGGGAAACUGAGGAUAAUACUCCAUAGAUCUAGGAUGCUGGAAUGCAUUUAGAUUGAAAGCUCCGGCGCCUAAGGAUGAGUCUGCGGACUAUCAGGUUGUAGUCAGGGUAAAGACCUGACUAGCCUACGACGGAUACGGGUUGUGAGAGCAAUAACCCGGAGACGAUAUCUGAGACACGAUAUCGGGCCCUACGGGGCGCAGCAGGCGCGAAAACUGCACACUGUGCGAAAGCGCGAUGAGGGAAUCGCAAGUGUUUGCUCGUAAGAGUAAACUGUUUCUUUGUUUAAAACGCAGAGAGAGUAAGGGCUGGGUAAGACGGGUGCCAGCCGCCGCGGUAAUACCUGCAGCUCAAGUGUUGAUCAUUAUUAUUGGGCCUAAAACGUCCGUAGCCAGUUUAGUAAAUGCCUGGGUAAAUCGUGUAGCUUAACUAUACGACUUCCGGGUAGACUGCUAAACUUGAGACCGGGAGAGGCUAGAGGUACUCCUGGGGUAGAGGUGAAAUUCUGUAAUCCUAGGGGGACCACCAGUGGCGAAGGCGUCUAGCUAGAACGGGUCUGACGGUGAGUGACGAAGCCCUGGGGCACAAACCGGAUUAGAUACCCGGGUAGUCCAGGGUGUAAACGCUGCUUGCUUGAUGUUAGUUGGGCUCCGAGCCCAACUAGUGUCGGAGAGAAGUUGUUAAGCAAGCUGCCUGGGAAGUACGGUCGCAAGGCUGAAACUUAAAGGAAUUGGCGGGGGAGCACAGCAACGGGUGGAGCGUGCGGUUUAAUUGGAUUCAACGCCGGG